Molecule: ribosomal RNA, 235 nt
Filed under: uncultured bacterium
Lineage: Bacteria
Description: partial 16S ribosomal RNA
Rfam family: Bacterial small subunit ribosomal RNA
Source: RNAcentral
UGGCGGACGGGUGAGUAAUGUCUGGGAAACUGCCCGAUGGAGGGGGAUAACUACUGGAAACGGUAGCUAAUACCGCAUAACGUCGCGAGACCAAAGAGGGGGACCUUAGGGCCUCUUGCCAUCGGAUGUGCCCAGAUGGGAUUAGCUAGUAGGUGGGGUAACGGCUCACCUAGGCGACGAUCCCUAGCUGGUCUGAGAGGAUGACCAGCCACACUGGAACUGAGACACGGUCCAG